UGAUCGAGUACGAUUGCAAAAUUGAAAACAAAAAAAUUAGUCGGUCUCGGAGCAAACGAAGUGAAGCAUGUUAUUUAAUUCGAUAAUCCGCCGAAGACCAGAGACGCAAACGUUAAUCAUCAUAAACAGGCGUAAAGGGUUUGUAGGCAGCUUUUACAAGACUAUAAUUACAAAAUAAAGUAGUUUAAUUAAGAGCUAGAAUCAAAAAGAGGUUAUAGUGUAUAACGCCUAGAGGAGGGCUGAUAUCCAUAGAUCCUAGGCAGAAUACUCAGGGCGAAGGCCACUCUCCACUAGUGAUUGACGCUGAGAAACGAAGGUUAGGGUAGGAAAUAGGAUUAGAUACCCCGGUACUCCUUUCUGUAAACGAUGAAUGGUAGUCAUUAGAAAUUACUAGAGACGAAGUUAACACAAUAACCAUUCCGCCUUGUGAGUACUACUGCAAAGUAGAAAACAAAAAAAUUAGUCGGUCUCGAAGCAAACGGAGUGAAGCAUGUUAUUUAAUUCAUUAAUCCGCAUAAC
This 519-nucleotide ribosomal RNA is filed under the name Neofomitella fumosipora. RNAcentral's name for it is "partial small subunit ribosomal RNA". It matches the Rfam family "Bacterial small subunit ribosomal RNA", at positions 409 to 969 of the family's 1533-position model. The record is from RNAcentral. Lineage: Eukaryota; Fungi; Basidiomycota; Agaricomycetes; Polyporales; Polyporaceae.